RNAcentral lists this ribosomal RNA (460 nucleotides) under Veillonella parvula. RNAcentral describes it as "bacterial SSU rRNA". It matches the Rfam family "Bacterial small subunit ribosomal RNA", at positions 28 to 465 of the family's 1533-position model. The record is from RNAcentral. Lineage: Bacteria; Bacillati; Bacillota; Negativicutes; Veillonellales; Veillonellaceae.
GACGAACGCUGGCGGCGUGCUUAACACAUGCAAGUCGAACGAAGAGCGACGGAAGCUUGCUUCUAUCAAUCUUAGUGGCGAACGGGUGAGUAACGCGUAAUCAACCUGCCCUUCAGAGGGGGACAACAGUUGGAAACGACUGCUAAUACCGCAUACGAUCUAAUCUCGGCAUCGAGGAUAGAUGAAAGGUGGCCUCUACAUGUAAGCUAUCACUGAAGGAGGGGAUUGCGUCUGAUUAGCUAGUUGGAGGGGUAACGGCCCACCAAGGCGAUGAUCAGUAGCCGGUCUGAGAGGAUGAACGGCCACAUUGGGACUGAGACACGGCCCAGACUCCUACGGGAGGCAGCAGUGGGGAAUCUUCCGCAAUGGACGAAAGUCUGACGGAGCAACGCCGCGUGAGUGAUGACGGCCUUCGGGUUGUAAAGCUCUGUUAAUCGGGACGAAAGGCCUUCUUGCGAAU